GGGGGCGAAUUGGGUUCGACCGGGCAAAUGAGGUCGAGGCCGCGUGUCCAGGUUGUCAGGAGGCCUGGUUAAACACCUGGCGAAACUAUUAAAUGCCAACGGACAACCGUUGCGUAUGGCUGCCUAAAAAGGCAACCCGUCCCAUCGACGACACCUGCUGAUUGAUGGGGCGAAGACAGCAGGUCCGCUCGCGAGGGUAGGCGACGUGACACGCGAGUAUGUACAUCACGACGCUGGGCCGACCGCAGCCUGCCGCUGGGCGUCGGAAGGUCGAGAUCAAACCAGACGGCUACGCACGUAGAAACCUCGGUUGAAUUGUCACGGGACGGGGGUUCGAUUCCCCCCGCCUCCAUUC
RNAcentral lists this transfer-messenger RNA (355 nucleotides) under Phycisphaerae. RNAcentral's name for it is "JAAYCU01 sp012729595 Standard tmRNA". It matches the Rfam family "transfer-messenger RNA". From Rfam's summary of the family: Bacterial tmRNA, also known as 10Sa RNA or SsrA, is named for its dual tRNA and mRNA-like properties. Its role is to liberate the mRNA from a stalled ribosome. RNAcentral also lists the same sequence under 1 other name. The record is from RNAcentral. Lineage: Bacteria; Pseudomonadati; Planctomycetota.